Molecule: long non-coding RNA, 430 nt
Organism: Rhincodon typus (whale shark)
Lineage: Eukaryota; Metazoa; Chordata; Chondrichthyes; Orectolobiformes; Rhincodontidae
Exons: 3
Source: RefSeq, a predicted model, not a curated record
CCCCCACCGCUGCCAUUGAGGAGCAUUUACUCAGUGAGUGGAAGAGGUUUGUUUGAAACAGACCGCAAUGGAGAGACCAGCGUCCGGGGAAGCGAGGGAACAGCAGGCUUCUUCCAGCAGCACAUCGAGAUUUGAGUCCAUGGGGGUUCCGACAGCGGCAUUGAUUCGGGCUCAGUUCAGGGAGAACCGGGGACUGUUUGUAAGAGGCCGAGUGGAGCAGGAACUGGUCCCGUCACUUGGAGCAAAUAUUUGAUGGGCCAGGACAAUAUCAUAUUUCCUCAUUACAGCACCAAGUGUGACCAGCUGCUCCUACCAAACAGCAGGAGCUAUCUUUUCUGUCUUCCUAUUGACAAAACUUGAAGGACCAGGACAAUGUAACAUUUCUUCAGGACAAAGCCGAGUGUGACCAGCUUGUUCUAACAAACAGCAG